This 253-nucleotide ribosomal RNA is filed under the name uncultured bacterium. RNAcentral describes it as "partial 16S ribosomal RNA". It matches the Rfam family "Bacterial small subunit ribosomal RNA", at positions 524 to 776 of the family's 1533-position model. The record is from RNAcentral.
UACGAAGGGGGCUAGCGUUGCUCGGAAUUACUGGGCGUAAAGCGCACGUAGGCGGAUUGCUAAGUCAGGGGUGAAAUCCUGGAGCUCAACUCCAGAACUGCCUUUGAUACUGGCGAUCUCGAGUUCGGGAGAGGUGAGUGGAACUGCGAGUGUAGAGGUGAAAUUCGUAGAUAUUCGCAAGAACACCAGUGGCGAAGGCGGCUCACUGGCCCGAUACUGACGCUGAGGUGCGAAAGCGUGGGGAGCAAACAGG